CGGGAGCUGCAUUCAGUUAGGAUGUGAAUACAUGAAAUAUUCAUCUCAGGACCUUCUAGAAGAAUGAGCUGGGACCCACUUUCCGAGUCCUGCUGGAACCAAAGACCGAGAUAUUGCCCAGGUGUCUGAAUGUCUACGUUGGGGUACCUUCUUUUCUGAUAGUCUAUAUUCCCAUAAGUAUUGCAGUCUGUCGGCCUUUGGACUUUAUCUUCUAUUUUAUCUCUCUGUAUGUUCACAUAAUCUUGUUGCAGUGCUUUAAUGAUGAGGGCUUCAUAAUUGCUUCAGUUUUCACCAAAUGGUAUGAGCUGCAGUUCCACUUAUGACAGAAAGCAUGGGCUUCCUGUGUUAGGUAUUCAAGAGCAAGGCAGAUACCCUGGACACUUGAACUGAGAAUGUCACUCUGUCUUUUUGCCAGCCCUCUUCCCUACCCUUGGAGACAAGAAUCUCCUUUUCUUCACACAGAAAUGUGGGUGAAGUCAGUAGAAAACAUUUCCUUCUCUUCCCUUCGUCUCUCAAACUCCCUGUCCCUACCUUCUGCCUGUCCCUUUCUCUGACCAAAUCCCCCAGGUCCACUGCUUCACUCCAGCCAUGAUCAGGGUGUCCUCCAGCUGCUGGCCUCUGCCCUGUCCAUCCCUCAGUGAGAAAUAUGGAGGCGGAUUAUGGAGUUCACAGGACUGAUCAAGAAAUCUGUGCUCCUCAGAGUCCUCCUACACAAGGUUGCUGUCUGUGGAGACCUGGCAUCCUGGGCGAGGGUCUGACUCCAUGUGUGGCCUCCUCACUCCUCUCCCGCAGUCACUGCUCGUCCCUCAUCCUUACCCUACCAUACCUUACCAUUAGAAAUCAGCCAUAUGCUAGGGACAGAUACCUGUCUAUCUGACCAGGGAGUCAGUGAAUAUUUCUAAAAUACAUGAGCACAAGCACCCCAUAAGUCUAGAUACAGGAAGUUACCACCACCCCAGAAAACUCUCUCAGGCUCCCCUGCACAAAAGGUGAGCUUGUUACUAUCCUCUGUCACUGCAAUUUCUCCUAGUUUGUUAUCUGUGUGUAUAGGAACCGCACUGUGUGUACUCGAUGGGGAGUGAGAGUAAGUCCUGCUAGAAGCAGAGAGUGAAACAGAGAACGGUGAAAGGUGUAUUAGGAGAUACUAAGUAGGACAAGGUAGAGGGCGCAGGGUGGGCAGGGAAAGCAUUCAAGCAGAUCUCACACCUUUUUAAAAUAUAUAAUCACCAUAGUCUGUCACCUCACACAGUCCUCUUCAAAUUUCAAAAUAGUUGUCAUAUAAGGCAGUGAGAUUUACGAGAUUUGGGGUUAUUUCCCUAGGGUUUUAUGUUUUCCUACACACAUUCUGUCUUCUGUAGUUUAUCUGUGGCCUCAGAUGAACACAUUAGUGUGUGGCUGCGUCUGUGAGUCUAUAUGUAAUGGAAUAUGACUGUCUUCACACCUCAGAUGUAGAUCUAUGAAUAUACACAUUCUCGUAAUUAUCUUUUCUUUCUUUGUCUGGUAGGUCCUGAGUUUUAAUAGAAAAAGCCUGUCUUUGUCUUAUUGUUUAAAACAGUGAUUCCCAAUCCCCGGGCUGAGGUGUUAACAGUCUUAGUUUAAUGAACUUCCGUGACCGUCUUUUUUUGAUGAUCAUUGUGUGGAGAUAUCUUAAUUGAAACUGUGAGAAGGGUGAGUGGACACUUCCCAGACAUUUUGCAGAUGCAUUCUGUAUUCAAUGUCUUCUUUUCAUAAUGUCCUUAGAAACAAAUAUUACCCCUUUUUCACAGAAAACAAAGCUGAGGCUCUGUGUAGGUCCCACUGAGAACUGGUAUUAGGGCUGAGACAGCAGGAACACAGGAAAAACCUUGGGAUAUUGUGAGAGAAGUCUGAGGAGAUGGAAAGCUGUAGUCAGGGUGAUGACAGGGGUCCAGCAAGGGUGGCAUCUGGUCAACCCUGAAUUGUAGGUUGACCCACUGGAGUCUGACUCCGGCUGAAAGCCAGUUCAGGCACUCAGCUGACCUAGAUCCUUUCUUCACUUUUAGUUUCACUGAGGGAUAUGAACUUAGACAAGCAUUUCCGUAAGACCAAAUUAAACUUCCCAUAUCUGCCGGGCAUUUUUCCCACAAAUAUCCAGAACCUUUAGAAAGCCCAGGGAGAAAACAAUCCAUUUAGAUGAUUGCCUAGGUGCACUUUGGCAGCACUGACGUUUUGGAGAUAAACACUGCAUUGUGCACUGAGAGUGAUCCCACAUAGCAGCUCCGUGUGGAUCUCAUGCUCCCUGCUCAGGCUGUGGCCAGGAAUGGCCUCCAACUGCAUCUCACUGAUCCCAGCACCCUCCCCUCUGCACCUCCUCAAACUCUGCUUACUGUGCUCAACUUCCCUUCUAUUCCUGCGUGAUUCAAGUUUCCCCCAUUUUUGCACUAGAUCCUUCACUGCUACUUCCACUAUGGUGACCACAAGGUCUGUGUCAUAUAAUGCAUGUGCCCCCUUUCAGACGGGACACCUGAGGCACCUACACUUAGGGGUACAUAUCAUCCUUCACAGAGCUCAAAACAUUGUGUCUGUAAGGUAGGCACCAGUGCUCCCAAUAUGUCUGCCUUUGUGUAAAAAUCCUCUUUCUUUUUGACAAGAGAAACCUACAGCUGACCUCAUUACAGGGACAUGACACAGCCCAUUGCACAUUAUGUCCCGAGAAACUUGAGAUAUGUGACACUGUCCUCAGGCAGGUUUGCAGUUGAAUUGCCAAGCCCUCACAAGCAUCCCUACAUCAUUCCCACCAAGUCUUUCAUGAAGAAGAUGAAUAUUCUUUACAAGUGCCUCAUCCAGUUCAGGUCAUCUUACCAAAUGGAGUCAGUGGAGAGUGGGGGGUGGCUCAUAGCCCAUGACUGAUGAUGGACGGUCCAGGGGGUAGGACAUGCAAGGUGAUCGUGAGUAAGGACCAGGCUCUCUUGUAUACAUAAUGGCCCAUAUAACAUAAAUUAAAGGUAUAAAGUUUCGGAGGCUGUGUCAUCCCCCUACUCUUUCCGAAUAGUAGGGUUAGGAUUCUCAUUUUUUUAGUAAAGCAUAUAGAAGCUGAGCCUCAAGAGAGAAGAUUGGAAUCCAGUUUUGACAGUAGACAGCCAGUCCAAGAAAGCCUUGUAAAAGCCUUGUAAUUUUAGGUUGUGGGAGAUUGAGGAUGCUUUGAGUCUGCCUGGAUCUAGAUAUUGGCCUUGUUCUGACAAUACGUGAGCUAAAUGCCUAACCGGAGUUUGAGCAAACUGCAGUUUUUCUUUGGAGUCUUCAUAGGCCUUUUAAAGCUAAAAGUUUUCACAGAUGGAUGCUGUCUUUGUGUGAAGAGGCAUGAGGAGGGGAACAGAGAAGCAAAUCAUAGACACACUGUAACAAAGUAGAGCCUACAGAACACUUUCCAUCAUCCAAAGCAGCCUUUCAGGUGUGUGGGAAACACGAAGCACUCUGUGAAACCCAGGGAGGUUACAGUCCAGAUGUACUGUCAUUCCCUGCAAGUGAAGGCAAAAACAUACUGGCUGUCCAUAUCAACUGGAAUGCUAAAAACUACAGCACAUAGGUCAAGGAUAGUGAAAACUUUGCUUUCAGUGGGAGUGGAUGUUGGUAGAGUGUGAGGUUUGGGAAGAAGGGUAUAUCGAGGGAUAACAGAGCUAUUUAUUUCUCGGAGGUCUUGGACAAAGUACUGUCCUCAGCAGUUGGGUUUUCUCACAGGUAUAAUAGAGGUAUUACAUGGACUACUGCAGGGGAUAAUGAGGCCACGAACCUUGUAACAUUCUAUUAGGGUGUUGAUGCCUUGAAGGCCUUCUUAAUUUAUAGGAUUUUGAUUAAUUCUAGGGAGAAGUUUUGCAGGAUCGAUUUGAAUCUUGACGGGAGGUGCACUGUGGAUUCUGCCAAGAUCAGUUGAAGAUUUUUCCCAUAAAGAGGAUGGUCGCUGAUCCAGUAGGAAUAAAUGAUCAGUACUGCCAGACUCAGCUAUAGUACCAGCAUAGACACGGCACAAAAAGUUGCCAAAGGAUCAUUUGUUUCCCCUUUUUGCUAUUUUGGUUACUAUUGUCAAAUUCUAGAAUUAUUUUUCCCUUUUGUACAAGAGAAAUUCCAGCAUGAUAUUUUUCUAAGAAAUCUCAGUCCAGUUAAUGAAUAGGGGCCGAAGAACUAAGGAGAAUAGGGUGUAUAUCUCUCAAAGGGCCUGGAUCAAAGGGAGUAGGUUCAGAGAUAGGAACCUGUUGAGAUCUAAUAGAUCCCCACCAAAUGAACUGUUUUUGUACUCCAAGGCUGGGGCUGCUUUAUAGCACUGGGGUUAGUUCCAGCUUCAGUAAAGACAGAGAUAUAUUCAUUCCCAAUCUGGAAAGUAGUUUCUCCAAAGAGAUUAAGAGUGAGGGUUGGGAAGGGCUCCAUUGUUCCUUCGAAUCCCAUCGUUGGGAAUUGGGAGGACAUUGAAAAGGUUGGCAAGAGGGCUGGAGGGCCUUGAAGCUCUUAAACUUAUAACCAUCUUUUUUUCCAAUGUCCUAGUUUCUUUCAGUCACAGCAGGAACUAGGCUUCUAGUUUUGGGGGGGCUUUAUUUGCUGGAGUUGAGAAUUGAAAAUUUAACAGUCUUUCCACUAGAUGACUCACCUAGGGUCUGAGCAAAAUGGUUUUCCAGGUUAAUUAAACCUGGAGUGGGCAUAGUUUCCCAUUCCAUUCUUGGUUCUUUUAACUAAAAGGGAAAGAUCCCAGACUAGCACAUUAAUAAACAUAGAUCUAAAGGAGGAGCAGAGUUUUCAUUAAAGACAAUUUGGAGUAAAAAGUAAUAAUCAUGAACAGAUUCAUGAGGCUUUUUUUGGUAUAAGACUGAACUUUGUUUCAACCUUCUGGUUUAAGAAAAGCCAUUAAAAUUGCUCAAUGGAGGGGCAUCUGGGUGGCUCAGUCAGUUAAGCUUUUUAUCUUGUUGAAGUCCCAGUAGUUCAUUUUUGCUUUUACUUUCCUUGCCUCCAGAGACGUCAAGUUAGAAGUUGCUAUGGCCGAGAUCAAAGAGGUUUUUGCCUGCUUUCUCCUCUAGGAUUUUGAUGGCUUCCUGCAUUGCGCGCCCCUCUUUCAUCCAUUCUGAGUUUGCUUUUGUGUAUGGUGUAAGAAAGUGGUCCACUUUCAUAUUUGCAUGUCACUGUCUAGUUUUCCCAACACUAUUUGCUAAAGAGACUGUCUUUUUUCCAUUGGAUAUUCUUUCCUGCUUUGCCAAAGAUUAGUUGGCCAUACGUUUGUGGGUCCAUUUCUGGGUUUUCUAUUCUGUUCAGUUGAUCUAUGUGUCUGCUUUUGUGCCAGUACCAUACUGUCUUGAUGAUUACAGCUUUGUGAUACAUCUUGAAGUCCGGACUUGUGGUACCUCCACUCUUGGUUUUCUUUUUCAGGAUUGCUUUGGCUAUUUGGGGUCUUUUCUGGUUCCAUACAAAUUUUAGAGUUUUUUUGUUGUAGCUCUGUGAAGAAUGCUGGAGUUAUUUUGAUAGGGAUUACACUGAGUAUGUAGAUUUCUUUGGGUAGUACUAACACCUUAACAAUAUUUGUUCUUCCAAUCCAUGAGCUUGGAAUAUUUUUCCAUCUUUUGGUGUCUUCUCCAAUUUCUUUCAUAAGCUUUCUAUAGUUUUCACUGUAUCGAAUUUUUACCCUUUCAGUUAGGUUUAUCCCUAGAUGUUUUAUGGGUUUUGGUGCAAUUGUAAAUGGAGUUGAUUCCUUGAUUUUCUGCUGCUUCAUUACUGGUGUAUAAAAGCCCAACCGAUUUCUGUGCAUUGAUUUUAUAUCCUGCGACUUUGCUGAAUUCAUGGAUCAGUUCUAGCAGUUU
Neofelis nebulosa (Clouded leopard) is the source of this 5795-nucleotide long non-coding RNA. RefSeq lists it as uncharacterized. The record is from RefSeq and is a predicted model, not a curated record. The transcript has 3 exons. Lineage: Eukaryota; Metazoa; Chordata; Mammalia; Carnivora; Felidae.